UACUUAAAACCAUCGCGAACUUAUCCAAGUUGCUUCGGCGGCGCGGCUCCCCUCACGGGGGACCGCAGCCCCCGCCUCUCAGGAGGUAAGGGGCAGCCGCCGGAGGUACGAAACUCUGUAUUAUAGUGGUAUCUCUGAGUAUAAAACAAAUAAGUUAAAACUUUCAACAACGGAUCUCUUGGUUCUGGCAUCGAUGAAGAACGCAGCGAAAUGCGAUAAGUAAUGUGAAUUGCAGAAUUCAGUGAAUCAUCGAAUCUUUGAACGCACAUUGCGCCCGCUAGUACUCUAGCGGGCAUGCCUGUUCGAGCGUCAUUUCAACCCUCAAGCUCUGCUUGGUGUUGGGGCUCUACGUCUGACGUAGGCCCUGAAAGGAAGUGGCGGGCUCGCUACAACUCCGAGCGUAGUAAUUCAUUAUCUCGCUAGGGAAGUGUGGCGUUCUCCAGCCGUUAAAGACCCCAUCUUUAACCAAGGUUGACCUCGGAUCAGGUAGGAAUACCCGCUGAACUUAAGCAUAUCAAUAAGCGGAGGAA
Molecule: ribosomal RNA, 530 nt
Filed under: Coniochaeta sp. 6-19s
Lineage: Eukaryota; Fungi; Ascomycota; Sordariomycetes; Coniochaetales; Coniochaetaceae
Description: eukaryotic LSU rRNA
Rfam family: 5.8S ribosomal RNA (bases 159-312)
Source: RNAcentral